UGGUUAAGUGAAUAAGGGCGUACGGUGAAUGCCUUGGCACUAGGAGCCGAUGAAGGACGGGACGAACACCGAUAUGCUUCGGGGAGCUGUAAGUAAGCUUUGAUCCGGAGAUUUCCGAAUGGGGGAACCUCAUUGUUUUUAUCGACAAUGGUCCACUCAGUGAACACAUAGCUGAGUGGAAGGUAGACGUGGUGAACUGAAACAUCUCAGUAGCCACAGGAAGAGAAAGAAAAAUCGAUUUCCCGAGUAGCGGCGAGCGAAACGGAAAGAGGCCAAACCAGCGUGCUUGCAUGCUGGGGUUGUAGGACUGAUGGACGGGAGUGAAUGAGCUAGUCGAACGCCAUGGAAAGGGCGAUCAGAGAGGGUGACAAUCCCGUAGGCGAAAGCUCAGCCACCUCAUUCAGUAUCCUGAGUACGGCGGUACACGUGAAAUUCCGUCGGAAUCCGCCAGGACCAUCUGGCAAGCCUAAAUACUCCCUAGUGACCGAUAGUGAACCAGUACCGUGAGGGAAAGGUGAAAAGCACCCCGGAAGGGGAGUGAAAGAGUACCUGAAACCGUAUGCCUACAAGCAGUCAGAGCCCGUUAAGGGGUGAUGGCGUACUUUUUGUAGAACGGACCGGCGAGUGACGAUAGCAAGCAAGGUUAAGCUGAAGAAGCGGAGCCACAGCGAAAGCGAGUCUGAAGAGGGCGUUGAGUUUGUUGUCGUCGACCCGAAACCAAGUGAUCUACUCAUGUCCAGGCUGAAGGUGUGGUAAAACACACUGGAGGGCCGAACCCACGUCUGUUGAAAAAGGCGGGGAUGAGGUGUGGGUAGCGGUGAAAUUCCAAUCGAACUUGGAGAUAGCUGGUUCUCUCCGAAAUAGCUUUAGGGCUAGCCUCGGAUGAUGACUAUUGGAGGUAGAGCACUGUUUGAUCGAGGGGUCCAUCCUGGAUUACCGACAUCUGAUAAACUCCGAAUGCCAAAUAGUUUAGUCCGGGAGUCAGACUGCGAGUGAUAAGAUCCGUAGUCGAAAGGGAAAGAGCCCAGACCACCAGCUAAGGUCCCAAAGUUUCAGUUAAGUGGAAAAGGAUGUGGGGUUGCUUAGACAACUAGGAUGUUGGCUUAGAAGCAGCCAUCAUUGAAAGAGUGCGUAAUAGCUCACUAGUCGAGUGACCCUGCGCCGAAAAUGUACCGGGGCUAAACUGAACACCGAAGCUGUGGAUCCAUAGGAUGGUAGGAGAGCGUUCUAUAGGCAGAGAAGCAUGAUCGUGAGGACAUGUGGAGCGUAUAGAAGUGAGAAUGCCGGUAUGAGUAGCGAAAGACGGGUGAGAAUCCCGUCCACCGAAUGACUAAGGUUUCCUGGGGAAGGCUCGUCCUCCCAGGGUUAGUCGGGACCUAAGCCGAGACCGAAAGGGAUAGGCGAUGGACAACAGGUUGAGAUUCCUGUACUUGUUUGAUUUGUUUGAGCGAUGGAAGGACACAGAAGGCUAAGCGGAGCGCGGAGAUGGAAAAACGCGUCCAAGCAAUAAGUGAGAAGGUGAGUGAAAGGCUUGCCUCAGACUUCAUGAGUUGUGACGGGGAGGGAAAUUUAGUACCGAAGCCGCCGACGUCACGCUGUCAAGAAAAGUUUCUAGUGAGAAUCAAACAACCCGUACCGCAAACCGACACAGGUAGUCGAGUGGAGAACACUAAGGUGAGCGAGCGAACUCUCGUUAAGGAACUCGGCAAAAUGACCCCGUAACUUCGGGAGAAGGGGUGCUGACCGCAAGGUCAGCCGCAGUGAAUAGGCCCAAGCGACUGUUUAUCAAAAACAUAGGUCUCUGCCAAAUCGAAAGAUGAUGUAUAGAGGCUGACGCCUGCCCGGUGCUGGAAGGUUAAGAGGAAGGGUUAGCGUAAGCGAAGCUCUGAAUUGAAGCCCCAGUAAACGGCGGCCGUAACUAUAACGGUCCUAAGGUAGCGAAAUUCCUUGUCAGGUAAGUUCUGACCCGCACGAAAGGCGUAACGAUUUGGGCACUGUCUCAACGAGAGGCUCGGUGAAAUUGUAGUACCAGUGAAGAUGCUGGUUACCCGCGACAGGACGGAAAGACCCCAUGGAGCUUUACUGUAGGUUGAUAUUGAAUGUUUGUGCCACAUGUACAGGAUAGGUAGGAGCCAUCGAAGUCGGGACGCUAGUCUCGAUGGAGGCACUGGUGGGAUACUACCCUUGUGGGAUGACCAUUCUAACCCGCGACCAUUAGCUGGUCGGGAGACAGUGUCAGUCAGGCAGUUUGACUGGGGCGGUCGCCUCCUAAAGUGUAACGGAGGCGCCCAAAGGUUCCCUCAGAAUGGUUGGAAAUCAUUCGCAGAGUGUAAAGGCAGAAGGGAGCUUGACUGCGAGACCUACAAGUCGAGCAGGGACGAAAGUCGGGCUUAGUGAUCCGGUGGUUCCGCAUGGAAGGGCCAUCGCUCAACGGAUAAAAGCUACCCUGGGGAUAACAGGCUUAUCUCCCCCAAGAGUUCACAUCGACGGGGAGGUUUGGCACCUCGAUGUCGGCUCAUCGCAUCCUGGGGCUGAAGUCGGUCCCAAGGGUUGGGCUGUUCGCCCAUUAAAGCGGUACGCGAGCUGGGUUCAGAACGUCGUGAGACAGUUCGGUCCCUAUCCGUCGCGGGCGUUGGAAAUUUGAGAGGAGCUGUCCUUAGUACGAGAGGACCGGGAUGGACACACCGCUGGUGUACCAGUUGUUCCACCAGGAGCAUGGCUGGGUAGCUAUGUGUGGACGGGAUAAGCGCUGAAAGCAUCUAAGCGUGAAGCCCCCCUCAAGAUGAGAUUUCCCAUACUUUUAAAGUAGUAAGACCCCUGAAAGACGAUCAGGUUGAUAGGUUUGGAGUGGAAGCUUAGCAAUAAGUGGAGCGGACAAAUACUAAUCGGUCGAGGACUUAUCCAAA
Molecule: ribosomal RNA, 2906 nt
Filed under: Aerococcus urinae
Lineage: Bacteria; Bacillati; Bacillota; Bacilli; Lactobacillales; Aerococcaceae
Description: 23S ribosomal RNA
Rfam family: Bacterial large subunit ribosomal RNA
Source: RNAcentral